RNAcentral lists this ribosomal RNA (497 nucleotides) under uncultured bacterium. RNAcentral describes it as "partial 16S ribosomal RNA". It matches the Rfam family "Bacterial small subunit ribosomal RNA", at positions 28 to 507 of the family's 1533-position model. The record is from RNAcentral.
GACGAACGCUGGCGGCGUGCCUAAUACAUGCAAGUUGAGCGAUGAAGAUUGGUGCUUGCACCAAUUUGAAGAGCAGCGCACGGGUGAGUAACGCGUGGGGAAUCUGCCUUUGAGCGGGGGACAACAUUUGGAAACGAAUGCUAAUACCGCAUAACAACUUUAAACAUAAGUUUUAAGUUUGAAAGAUGCAAUUGCAUCACUCAAAGAUGAUCCCGCGUUGUAUUAGCUAGUUGGUGAGGUAAAGGCUCACCAAGGCGAUGAUACAUAGCCGACCUGAGAGGGUGAGCGGCCACACUGGGACGGUGACACGGCCCAAACGCCUACGGGAGGCAGCAGGAGGGAAUCUUCGGCAAUGGACGAAAGUCUGGCCGAGCAACGCCGCGGGAGUGAAGAAGGUUGUCGGAUCGUAAAACUCGGUUGGUAGAGAAGAACGUUGGUGAGAGUGGAAAGCUCAUCAAGUGACGGUAACUACCCAGAAAGGGACGGCUAACUACGUG